AAAAUUUAACAAUUAAUAAAUAUAUUGAUCUACAAAGUUUUAAAAAUAAACAGCAAUAAGUAUAUAAUUUUCAAGAUGAAUAAUUGAACGAAAGUCAGUUCCAAGGGCAAUGCUCCAGAAUCAAAUCAUACUGUGUUCUAAAGAAAGUAAAAGAGAAUUUAAAUCUAAUAUACUAUUUUUCCAUUUACAGGAUCUCUUUAAUUACCCAAAGGAGGGUACGCUAAACACGAUCAAUUGAAACUCAACAAAACAUCUCAWCUUCGUUAUAUUAAAAUUUCCAAUUCUUCAUACAUACAUCAUACAAAAUCUGUUUUGAGCAUUUCCCAUUAACUUUGAAGCAUCGAUGAAGAAUUUGACUAACAUUUGGUAGCAAAACGAAAGUAAUAUUUAGAUACUCUCACUCGCGUCAUAUAAAGGCGAAGAAGUGUGCCUUUUUCGGGGAAAUGCGCAGGAGAAAYGGCGGAGAACCAGAUAAAAUCCAUGCAAAGAUAAAUUACUCCGUCCGUAUACAACUACUACUGCAGUUCCAUACAAACACGAGAUGCUAUCUUCCCCUGUAAAGGACACUCAAGAGAGCAGAGAUAAAGGCAUUACCACAGCUUGUAGGCAGAUCUCUUCAACCCCAUGCACAACAGUGGCAAUACUUUUAAGAAUCAACAUCAACUCUCUCACCAACACAGCUUUCAAUUCGAACAAAAGCCAACGAAACAAAUGUUGUGCUUUGUAAUAUGGUUGAAAUGCAAUGCAUAGAUUUUGGAUAGUUUUGGCUAGUGUUUUGGCUGUGACUAAAUUGCUACCGGUUAAUUCGCAUUGCAUAUAAAUAUAACAGCGUGAUGGAUAUAAAUAUUAACAUAACACGGAAAUCCAAAAUUGAGACUUUUCCAAAUUCAUCGAUCUAAGCGGCUACGCAUUUAUCUUUGGCAUUUUUGACGAUGUGAAUAACAAGAAAAAAAGAUUUAAAAUUCAAUAAAUCAAAGCACGAAUAUGUGUAAACGUAGCGUCUUCGAGUAUAUCUUACCCAAAGAAACAAAAAACACAUUUUGAUUGCUAAUUUAACUCUUAAUUAAUUAUUCGAAGCAACAUUGUUUCCAUCUGACGAAAAAUAAAAAUAAAUUCCUUUAAAUAAAUUUUAAUUAAACUGAAAAAAAGCAACUCUGUGAGAAAACAAAAUUGACGCUCUUACAAAAAUUUAAAUUCUCGCAUACUCGAAUAUCMAAAUUGUAGAAAAUAUUUGUAUGCAACAAUGACUACCAGCAGCGACCUAUAAAACAAAAUUAAAGUGACAAUAAAGAGCACAUUAUUAUACAUAUUAACAGAGUCAUAAAUUACCCUAUGCGGCAGAACGGAAGUCGUUAUGCGACAAACGCAAGAAAWUUUCAAAUUCAUACUCCUCUAGCAUUAGUCAACUACAAAGCUCAUUACAACUCCCCGGAAAACGCAAUAAAAAAUCCACUUUGGCAAGCAACUCGGCUCAACAAGGCAAAGUCAUCUUAAAAUAGCAGCAAACAAAACAAAAUUCUAAAUAAGAAAACACUUUAUUUAGCAGUAAAUUCAAGUUCUUAAACCAGUUAAAUUUUCUAAUGGAAAUAUGGUAGACACUGCUAUUCAAAAUGGUUGUGAAAGUGCGAGAUAUUGACUGAUAAGUCCAGAAAAAAUAUCUUUUGAAAGACUAACAGAGUGGUUAAACAUUAUACAAUAUCUAAAGAAAGUAAUUGAAUCAAAUCUCUAAAACUACCAUAUUGGGCGAUAGUCAAUCAACCGAAGACAAGCAGCACUGAAAUCUAAAAAUGUCAAAAACUGAAAGUCUCAUUCAAUUACUUAACCAAGCGGAUAAACAAARAGCUCGUUCAUUCGACUGAACCUUCAAAACAAACAAAAAAAACGUUCAAAUUCGUAUCAAACUCAACUCCUGAAUUACAUCAAAAACGAUGACUACCGCAUCUCUACAAAAUUUGUAUCCUUCGUCAUAAUAUUAAAAUCAUUCAAAAAGAAAAUUCAACUUUGGCAACGUUCUUAAAUUGUGGUCAAAUUUCUUGAAGAAAAUCUGUAAAUCUGGAUUAAUAUACGGGCAUUUGUUUUACUCACAAAUCAUCACACAUAUGCGGAAGUUAAUAGCAUAGCAUAAAAAAUAUCAAAAACUACAACAUCAAAAACAAAUUGAACUCGAGCAAUUCCAUAAGUGUGGAAACAAAAGCGUAGUUGUGGCAAAAGAACCCUCAGAAAAAUAUUUACGACGAACUUUCAUCAAAUAAAUAAACAAGAAUAAAACAACGCACGCCGCAGAUUGAAAUCAGGUUCACCGUCAGACUGGCAGUCAAGCGGUUUUUAUGCAAUCUUUCAGAACCAAAUACUUACAAACGAACACACAAGCACAUACAUACAUUACAUAUCUCAACAUCAUCGACAACAUCAAAUUUGCUAUUGAGCAACAAUCCAAAAAUAGCAAUGUGUAUCAGCUUCGACAGCAUAAGCUACAAAAUCACACAGAGCAGCAUUUAAACUUUCCAUAAUAAAUUUAUGAACCAGCAGCAGUCGCAGUAAUUGCUAUCAAUAAAAUAUAAACCCCAAAAAACGUUCAAACUCACACUAAGGCCAUGCGCAGUCUUUAGCCAACAAGCCAACAGCAGCCCAACCUCAUUCACAAGGCACUCUAUCUUGCUAUCGUAUUCAACUAUUCCACCCCCCAAUCACUGCCAACCCGCCCAUUUGGCCAAGCUAAUGACAUGAGGCCGCUGCAAAUGAAAUUACAAUACAUAUAUCUAUUGAACAUGGCAGACAGCAACCAAAGAAACCAUCAGCAAGACCGCGACAAAACUAAAGGAUGCGAUUGCAAAGACAGCGUUUGAAGAAUAAGAAAAUAUUAAAUUUAUAGCGAAAUUGCUCUCAAAUUUACUUGCUGCAUAUACCGACAAUUACAUGUUCUCGAUCAACGGCAACAAAUUUGGUGAAACGCAUAAUGGUUUCAUCUCAACCUAACCAAAUGAUAUACUAUAAACACACAUGUACAUAGGUAUAUACAAAAAUUCAUAUAUAUUUCUCGCCAAAAUCUAACUGUAAAAUGACGACAUAUACGUAUUUUUAUGAAAAUUCGCCAAGCUAACGAAACUCGUUUUGAUAUCGAUUUUUAGGAACGCAGGUACUAAAGAGAUUUUCCUCCGCAACACACGUAUUCAAACAUGCAUUAAUAUUUCUUAGCGAUUACGUUUUCAUUUUAUACAGUUUCUUUAAAGUUUUGACUAAUUCAUAGGCAAAAGCGGAUGGGGAUCGAAAUUGUUAUUAUGAGUAAAUUCAAUUCAGUCCAGUUCAGAAGAGCUUCACUAUUUCGGUAGUUUACCACUAAAUCAUCAUUGUACACACAAAUGUUUUGAUAUUCUCUGGCACUAACAAAUACUGUGUGACUCACUUUCGAAAUUUCUUCGGCGUCAAUGAUUUUCAAAAUAUGUAGUUGGGAUCUGUCCAGAGAGAUUGCCUUGCGAAAUCAAAUACUAUUUGAUUGUGCGGUAAAGAAUCAUCAGGGGGGAUACCCAGUGUAAUUGCUUUAAAUACGCAAGGAACGAAAAAGAGCUUUGUGCCCACGUGCCAAAAAGCGAAAUGCAUACACUCAUAUAUAUGUAGGUAUGUACAUAUGUAAGCAAUGGAAAAGUAAAUAAUCGAAAAAUUAUUGAGGCAGCUAAAAUGAAAUAAAUUAAAGACACUACUAAUAUUUUAGAGAUUCGAACAAAUUUCGAAAACAACUUGAUCUUUUUAUGUAUGAUUAAUAUUUUGAGUGGUAAAGCGAACAACAAGUUUUGAGUGUUCAGCUUAUAAGGAAACUACAGAAAAAACAAAUUCAAAAGAAAUAGUCAAAGAAACAAAAAAACACAAUGGCUACAAUUAAAUUGUUAUAACAACUAAGACACAACAUGGUUACGAAAGAAAACUUACAAGGGCUAAUCGCAAACAUUAUCGAAUGAAAAAAUAUAAUGUAACUACACUCUGUAUCCCCUCAAUUGUGGACACAUUUUGUUGUCGCCAAAACACGAGUAAAAUGAAGGCAAAAAUGUCCUUAAGUUCUUGAACGUUUACUGAAAACAGCCAAAAUCGAUGACCUUUCGAAUCAUCAAAAGUCAAGCUGGUCAUGCAAGUGAUUUAACUGUAAUAAUG
Bactrocera latifrons is the source of this 4143-nucleotide long non-coding RNA. RefSeq lists it as uncharacterized. The record is from RefSeq and is a predicted model, not a curated record. The transcript is spliced from 3 exons. NCBI's taxonomy places the organism in Eukaryota, Metazoa, Arthropoda, Insecta, Diptera, Tephritidae.